GACAGCGUGCUAGAGUGGUUAAUAGGUGAGACUUGAACUGGAACGGAAGGUGGGCCUAGUCCAGCUUCUGUUAUGCUCAAUAUCUCAUGGUUUCGGCCUCGCAGGUUCGAAUCCUGUCGCUGUCG
Non-coding RNA from Hirsutella rhossiliensis, 125 nucleotides. Lineage: Eukaryota; Fungi; Ascomycota; Sordariomycetes; Hypocreales; Ophiocordycipitaceae. The record is from the annotation of a RefSeq genome assembly.